AUUUAGGUCUUUUUCUUCAAUACGCCAACAUGCAAAACUUUGAGCCAAUAAUCGACUUUGAAGAAGGAUGGGGUUUUGUGCAUAACGGCAUCAAGAAGCUCCAGAACAAUCUAGAAGGCUUGCCCGAUACUCACCUCAGUUCUGAGGAUUACAUAAUUCUAUACACGUAUGUUUCAAUUCCUUUUUGA
Vicia faba (fava bean) is the source of this 188-nucleotide non-coding RNA. Lineage: Eukaryota; Viridiplantae; Streptophyta; Magnoliopsida; Fabales; Fabaceae. The record is from the annotation of a GenBank genome assembly.